This 610-nucleotide ribosomal RNA is filed under the name uncultured bacterium. RNAcentral describes it as "bacterial SSU rRNA". It matches the Rfam family "Bacterial small subunit ribosomal RNA", at positions 60 to 663 of the family's 1533-position model. The record is from RNAcentral.
AGUCGAGGGGCAGCGCGGGAUAGCAAUAUCCUGGCGGCGACCGGCGGAAGGGUGCGUAACGCGUGAGCGACAUGCCCGUUGCCCGGGGACAACCGGUGGAAACGCCGACUAAUCCCCGAUGGGAUAUUGUGCCGCAUGGCACGAUAUUGAAAGUUACGGCGGCGACGGAUUGGCUCGCGUCCGAUUAGCUUGUUGGCGGGGUAACGGCCCACCAAGGCUACGAUCGGUAGGGGUUCUGAGAGGAAGGCCCCCCACAAUGGGACUGAGACACGGCCCAUACUCCUACGGGAGGCAGCAGUGAGGAAUAUUGGUCAAUGGGCGGAAGCCUGAACCAGCCAUGCCGCGUGCGGGAAGGAGGCCCUAUGGGCUGUGAACCGCUUUUGCCUGGGGGCAAUAAGGGCGUCGCGCACGCCCGAUGAGAGUACCAGGCGAAUAAGCAUCGGCUAACUCCGUGCCAGCAGCCGCGGUAAUACGGGGGAUGCGAGCGUUAUCCGGAUUCAUUGGGUUUAGAGGGUGCGUAGGCUGUGCGUCAAGUCGGGGGUGAAAUUCCGGUGCUCAACACCGGGGCUGCCCUUGAUACUGUCGCGCUGGAGUGCGGAUGCCGCCGGAG